RNAcentral lists this ribosomal RNA (460 nucleotides) under uncultured bacterium. RNAcentral describes it as "partial 16S ribosomal RNA". It matches the Rfam family "Bacterial small subunit ribosomal RNA", at positions 338 to 795 of the family's 1533-position model. The record is from RNAcentral.
CCUACGGGAGGCAGCAGUGAGGAAUAUUGGUCAAUGGACGAGAGUCUGAACCAGCCAAGUAGCGUGAAGGAUGACUGCCCUAUGGGUUGUAAACUUCUUUUAUAUGGGAAUAAAACGUUCCACGUGUGGGAUUUUGUAUGUACCAUAUGAAUAAGGAUCGGCUAACUCCGUGCCAGCAGCCGCGGUAACACGGAGGAUCCGAGCGUUAUCCGGAUUUAUUGGGUUUAAAGGGAGCGUAGGUGGAUUGUUAAGUCAGUUGUGAAAGUUUGCGGCUCAACCGUAAAAUUGCAGUUGAAACUGGCAGUCUUGAGUACAGUAGAGGUGGGCGGAAUUCGUGGUGUAGCGGUGAAAUGCUUAGAUAUCACGAAGAACUCCGAUUGCGAAGGCAGUUCACUGGACUGCAACUGACACUGAGGCUCGAAAGUGUGGGUAUCAAACAGGAUUAGAUACCCUAGUAGUC